CCAAGAUGGCCGAAUAGGAACAGCUCCGGUCUACAGCUCCCAGCGUGAGCGACGCAGAAGACGGGUGAUUUCUGCAUUUCCAUCUGAGGGACUUCUGCUUGCUGCUGCCAAGUGAAAAAGCAUGUAUUUACUUCCCGUUCUGCCAUGAUUGUAAGUUUCCUGAGGCCUCCCCAGCCCUGGAGAACUGGACAGCUCAGAACUCCCAUGUUUCCUCAAAAGCUUCCCUCCUGCUGCUCACCUGAGCUGCCUGUCCCAGCACACAGCCACCAUCACCAGCAGGUUCCCCAAGAUGGCCAUCAGGAUAACCGUCGAGAGAAACGUGAGCAGCACCACCUUCUCCACUGACCCGAAACCCUCCUCAGAACUGAAAGACACACACAAGCACAAAGAAUUGAAUGAAACUCUGGGACACAAGAAGGAAAAUUCAUCUUUUCAUCAUUGACCUUCAGAAAGGUUUCUUGAGAGACUAAACAUACAAAUGGACAAUGGCCAGACCAUGUGUAACAAUAAAACUCCGAUGGACAAUCUCUGGCAGCCAGCCCAGAACGAUCAGGACUGGUUCAAUGACUGCGAGCUAGCUUCCCCCUUUUUUAACCCUCUUACCUGCUUCCAACUCAAGACUAAUAACAGAAUGCCAAAGACACUGCUCCCCAAAGCAAUUACGUGAGAUGCCUCACUGCUUGUUAGUGCACCUCCUGCUUCAGUGUGCCAACAACCUCCAAUCAGAAGAUAGCAGAAGCCUUCUUUUCCCCGCUUAUAAAGCUUUUUUACUCCCCUGCCUGUCUUUGAGACUUUGCUAAAUUCUAAGGAUGGUGGCUGAUCCUCUUGCUUUAUCAUGCUCUGAAUAAAUUGCUUGUU
Molecule: long non-coding RNA, 858 nt
Organism: Pan troglodytes (chimpanzee)
Lineage: Eukaryota; Metazoa; Chordata; Mammalia; Primates; Hominidae
Exons: 4
Source: RefSeq, a predicted model, not a curated record